This 154-nucleotide ribosomal RNA is filed under the name Woronina pythii. RNAcentral's name for it is "5.8S ribosomal RNA". It matches the Rfam family "5.8S ribosomal RNA". From Rfam's summary of the family: 5.8S ribosomal RNA (5.8S rRNA) is a component of the large subunit of the eukaryotic ribosome. It is transcribed by RNA polymerase I as part of the 45S precursor that also contains 18S and 28S rRNA. Lineage: Eukaryota; Endomyxa; Phytomyxea; Plasmodiophorida; Plasmodiophoridae. The record is from RNAcentral.
CUCUUAGCAAUGGAUAUCUUGGUUCCCACAACGAUGAAGAACGCAGCGAAAUGCGAUACGUAAUGCGAAUUGCAGAAUUCAGUGAAUCAUCAAAUCUUUGAACGCAAGUUGCGCUCUCGAGAUAUCCUUGAGAGCAUGCCUCUUUGAGUGUCGG